GGCACGCCCUGUCUGGAACAUGCCAUUCUUACAGAGGGAAGGAAAGAAGAGCUGACAAAACACAUUGAUGCUUCUGUAAGAAGUCCUGCUACUCUGAGCCCACCACCCGAAGAAAAGCCAAGGUAGCCCCGUGCAAGGCUGGGUGGAGACAGAAGAGAGGCCCGGCCAGCUCCCAUGAUCCUGCCAAGCCAGCUGAAGCACCAGACAUGAAUGCUGAGGCAUUGCAAAAUAGAUUUUAACUGGACAGCCUGAUUUGAAGUCGUGGAAGUGCUCUAAAUCAAAUCCAUUUGCUUGAGUAACGAAAGGGUAAACUGGAGACCAUGUUGUAGGUGUUAACGUUUCAAUAUGAACAAGUAUUUCAGAUAAAUUAAAAAGGGCAAACACUGCUUUCUAAUUUUUUUUAAAGUAAUCUCUACACCCAACGUGAAGCUUGAACUCAUGACCCCGAGAUCAAGAGUUGCAUGCUCCACUGAUGGAGCCAG
Long non-coding RNA from Mirounga angustirostris (Northern elephant seal), 482 nucleotides. RefSeq lists it as uncharacterized. The transcript has 3 exons. Lineage: Eukaryota; Metazoa; Chordata; Mammalia; Carnivora; Phocidae. The record is from RefSeq and is a predicted model, not a curated record.